Molecule: ribosomal RNA, 253 nt
Filed under: uncultured bacterium
Lineage: Bacteria
Description: partial 16S ribosomal RNA
Rfam family: Bacterial small subunit ribosomal RNA
Source: RNAcentral
UACGUAGGGUGCGAGCGUUGUCCGGAAUUAUUGGGCGUAAAGAGCUCGUAGGCGGUUUGUCGCGUCUGCUGUGAAAACCCGAGGCUCAACCUCGGGCCUGCAGUGGGUACGGGCAGACUAGAGUGCGGUAGGGGAGAUUGGAAUUCCUGGUGUAGCGGUGGAAUGCGCAGAUAUCAGGAAGAACACCCGUGGCUAAGGCGGCUCUCUAGGACGGUACUGACGCUGAGACGCGAAAGCGUGGGGAGCGAACAGG